RNAcentral lists this long non-coding RNA (2870 nucleotides) under Xyrichtys novacula (pearly razorfish). Lineage: Eukaryota; Metazoa; Chordata; Actinopteri; Labriformes; Labridae. The record is from RNAcentral.
AGAUGACUCACGCACGCUGUUAGCCAAUGGAGACAGACGUCUGCGUGUGGCGGCCAUCUUGCUACGGGCAAGUAGGAUUUAAAUCAACAUAGAUUGAUUAAUUAUAAACCGAUCUUCGCACGGUUUGUUUUUAUAUAUAUAUAAAAAUAUAAUGUAUAUAUGUACUGUAUAUAUAUAUAUAUAAGUUUAAUUUUAAAGAGAGUACAACGAGGGUAAACUCUAGUCUCUGUUACUCACAUGUCAAAUCCUGUCACUGUGGAACGGUAACAGGGUUGACAGUAACAGGGUUGACCGUUUUAAGCUAAUCUGCCUGUGGCUAGCUUAAAUAAAUGCUAGCUAAAGUGCAAGCUAGGUACUUUGAAAGGCGCUUACUUGUAGAUAUUGAUUAUAUUUUUGAGAAAUAGAAAAUUGUUUUGGUUUAUAUGUUAGAAAGUGCUAACAGGGUUGACUUUGUAUGUUUGUCCCUCCUGGUUAAACCUUGAAAAAACAUCAAAAAUAGCCCAUCAGAGAUGAGAGAAACUUCAUUGUCACUGAGCUGUUCGCAUCCUGGCUCAGAGAGGAUGCAACCUCCUGUCAAUCAUGUCAAAUCUGGAAUGUACCAUUAUUUAUUUAUUUAUUAUUAUUUUUUUAGUUAGGGUAAAAGGGUCGACAUGAAAUCAGGGGACACCGAUAAAUUGGUAAACAUAUAUAUAAUGAUUAAUAUUUAUUAUUACCAAAAACACUGUUUAUUUAUAGUCAUUUAUAUCAUUUAAAAUUUGACUUUAAUUUGAUGUUAUAUUAAGGAGAGAAGACAUGGUAAUGUUAUAUUUUGAAAUUACAAAUUAAUUUGUUAUAAUUUUUACUUCUUGGGGAUGCAAAAGGCACCGAUUUCACGGAAUGACCCAUAUAUAUAUAUAUAUAUAUAUAUACACACAUAUCUCCUUUCCUAUUCUUGUGUAUAGUUUUCAUUUUCAUUGCACGGUCUACGGUGAACUGCAUUUUUUUUUCAACUAUUUUUGUGUACUUCUAAUUCGGUCUCUGUUUCCUUUUUCUGUAUCUAUUGCACUGAAAAUGGAGAAGCUCUUCAAUCUCGUUGUACCUUCUGGAUAAUGACAAUAAAAGGCAUUCAGAUUUUGGUUCUAGAGCAAUAGCUGUAGGAGCCAGAAUAUAUUUGUUGAGUUUUAUUUCUAUAGGUACGUCACUUCCGGGAUCGUCACUGAGGGGUGUGUUUUUGGGAUGUUUGGCGGGUUAUUUCAGUCUCACAGGUGCAGUCAGACAAUGGGUUUGGUAAGCGCUGAUAAUUUUCUGUUGACCGCUUUUUCACCGCUUUAUUCAUUCAUCCUGUUUUAACCUCAUUUCAUCAUAUCACCUUUUAAGUUGAGGCCAAAAGUUUGGACCUGGAUUGGCGUGUUUUCCAUUUUUUGAACAAUAAAUCGUUUUUUAACACUCAAACCGGACUGAUCAUUCAAGCGAGUCACAGAUGGAAGCGAACCGAAAGCCCAGCGGCCUUUUUUGUUGAAGGAAAACAGUCUCUACAAUAGCUAUAGCUCUACAUACAAGGCAGUUAUAUUACAUCACUGAUAUGUAAAACAAUAAAUCACUGUGUAUGUUGUAUGAGUAAUUAUAAUAACACAUCACAUCAACUUAUAUGUAUUCAUUUUCAAUAUAAAUAUCUUUCUCAUGUUGCUUUUCUGUAUAUCUGUUCUGUGAGACAUCUAUAUAUGUAUGUCGUCAUAGUCAUUUUCUUCCGCUUCAUCCUGGUCCAGGUCCUGGGGGCAGCAGCUUCAGGAGGGAGGUCCAGGCUGCCCUCACCUCAGCCACUUCCACCAGCUCCUCCUCCGGGGGGAUUCCCAGGCGCUCCCAGGCCAGGCGAGAGAUAUAAUCCCUCCACCUGGUCCUGGGCCGGCCAUGAGGUCUCCUCCUGGUGGGACAUGUCUGGAACUCCUCUAACGGAGGCGUCCAGAAGGUGUCCUAACCAGAUGCCCGAGCCACCUCAGCUGACUCCUCUUGACGUGGAGGAGCAGCGGUUCUCCUCUGAGCUCCUCCCGAGUGUCCGAGCUCCUUACCCUAUCUCUAAGGCUGAGCCCGGACACCCUGAGGAGGAAACCCAUUUCAGCCGCUUGUAUCUGCGAUCUCGUUCUUUCGGUCAUUACCCAAAGUUCAUGACCAUAGGUGAGGAUCGGCACGUAGAUCGACCGGUAAAUCAAGAGUCUCUCCUUUCGGCUCAGCUCUUUCUUCAUACAUCAUACAUACACCCUGAUGAGAAAACCUUCCUCCACUGUUCAGACUCACUUUGAGGACUUUUUAAAGACCAAAUCUAGUUUCUGUUUGAAUGAAAAAUAAUAAUAAUCAAUUGGACACAGUGACUGAAACAAGCUGAGUUGAUGUUUUUAACAUGUUUUGGUUCAAAUAAAGUUUUUAUUGUCUUUAAACGACAUUGUUACGGUGAAAUGAAAUCAAAAAUGAUCUGGUGUAAAUGAAGAACCAACAUAGAGUUACACAGACAGAGCAUAGAUCUAUUGAUACUAGAUAAGCUUAAGAGGACAAAUCUGUUCACAAUAGUUCUAUGUUUCCUGUUUCUCCGCGGUGAGCAGACUGUGACAUGAGCUGUCCUGGCUUUUGAUUGGAUCUUUACAGGUCAUAUUUCACACAUUUUACUUUGACUUUCAGGUCUCAUUUAUGGUUUAAUAAUUCAGUUUGUUUAUCCAAACAAGAGGGAAUCGAUUAUUGAUGAGCACAAAGAUGAUAUGAGAACAAAAACAUGUAAAGAGACGAAAAAUAAUGUCUAAUAAUAUAAAAUAAGGUCAAUUUACCUCCAGUCAAUAUUUACAAUCAUUUCAGAAAAUGAAGAAGAAAACGGAUGAAUAAAAAUAAUCAAGUGAAAGAAUAAA